GUGAUUGGUCAGACUGACUGAGAGCCAGAGAGCAGUGAUUGGUCAGACCAUAGAUACUAUAGAAGACAGCGCGCUAGCGGAUCUAGUCUGCUCUAUGUAUCUAUGGUUAUCACGUCUGGUAGCAUCUCUGGCUGCUGUUGCCCUUGUUUUUGGAGUAAAACACGGUGGAAGCUGAAUUAGUGAGGAUGACUCCUGCUGCUGUCAUCUCUAAGCUCCUCACACAUCUUUACCUGCACAUGAGGAAAAUCACUCCUGUAGAAUGCAGAUGUUCAGAGGGAGAUGAUGCCACAUCUGGUCCAGCAGAUGGAAGGUCUUGAAGUUCUCUGACUGGCCUCGACUGAAGAUGGUCGUCUCACUGGAUUUAAGGUUCAGAUGCUCAGUAACAAACUCCACCAAUGAGCCAACAGGGAAGCUUUAGGUUUGUUAAAGGUCGCUAUGAAGGUUUCACUGUUUUUCUUUGUGAAUGCAAUGAGCUCCAACUGAAACUUGAAUUAGAACUUAGAAGUAAAUCCUUCCAUCUGAAAGUAUUUAGUUGCAUUA
Long non-coding RNA from Amphiprion ocellaris (clown anemonefish), 540 nucleotides. Lineage: Eukaryota; Metazoa; Chordata; Actinopteri; Pomacentridae. The record is from Ensembl.